This 745-nucleotide ribosomal RNA is filed under the name uncultured archaeon. Its description in RNAcentral is "bacterial SSU rRNA". It matches the Rfam family "Archaeal small subunit ribosomal RNA", at positions 55 to 787 of the family's 1478-position model. The record is from RNAcentral.
GACCCGGACUAUGGCGGGAAGUGGCAGACUGCUCAGUAACACGUAGCUAACCUACCCUUGGGACGGGUACAACCCCGGGAAACUGAGGUUAAUACCCGAUAGGUGUGGAAUCCUGGAAUGGUACCACGCCCAAAUGUAAACGCAUCCAUGUUUGCGUACACGCCCGAGGAUGGGGCUGCGGCCGAUCAGGCAGUUGGUGAGGUAACGGCUCACCAAACCUUUGACCGGUACGGGCCAUGAGAGUGGUAGCCCGGAGAUGGGCACUGAGACAAGGGCCCAGGCCCUACGGGGCGCAGCAGGCGCGAAACCUCCACAAUUCACGCAAGUGAGAUGGGGUUACCUCGAGUGCCAUCUGAAGAAGGUGGCUUUUCCAUGGUGUAAUGAGCCGUGGGAAUAAGGGGGGGGCAAGACUGGUGUCAGCCGCCGCGGUAACACCAGCCCCCCGAGUGGUGGGGAUGAUUAUUUGGCCUAAAGCGUCCGUAGCCAGCUCGGUAAAUCUCUCGUUAAAUCCAGCGUCCUAAGCGUUGGGCUGCGAGGGGAACUGCCGAACUAGAGGGUGGGAGAGGUCAGCAGUAUUCCUGGGGUAGGGGCGAAAUCCAUUGAUCCCAGGAGGACCACCAGUGGCGAAGGCUGCGGACUAGAACACGCCUGACGGUGAGGGACGAAAGCUGGGGUAGCGAAUCGGAUUAGAUACCCGAGUAGUCCCAGCCGUAAACGAUGCAGGCUAGGUGUUGGGUCGGCCAUG